RNAcentral lists this ribosomal RNA (467 nucleotides) under uncultured bacterium. RNAcentral describes it as "bacterial SSU rRNA". It matches the Rfam family "Bacterial small subunit ribosomal RNA", at positions 29 to 518 of the family's 1533-position model. The record is from RNAcentral.
AUUGAACGCUGGCGGCAGGCCUAACACAUGCAAGUCGAGCGCGAAAGGCCUUCGGGCUGAGUAGAGCGGCGGACGGGUGAGUAACGCGUAGGAAUUUACCUGGUAGUGGGGGACAACUUGUGGAAACGCAAGCUAAUACCGCAUACGACCUAAGGGUGAAAGUGGGGGACCUUCGGGCCUCACGCUAUCGGAUGGACCCGCGGCGUAUUAGUUAGUUGGUGAGGUAACGGCUCACCAAGACGAUGAUACGUAGCCGACCUGAGAGGGUGAUCGGCCACAUUGGGACUGAGACACGGCCCAAACUCCUACGGGAGGCAGCAGUGGGGAAUAUUGGACAAUGGGCGAAAGCCUGAUCCAGCAAUGCCGCGUGUGUGAAGAAGGCCUGCGGGUUGUAAAGCACUUUCAGUAGGGAAGAUUAUGACGGUACCUACAGAAGAAGCACCGGCUAACUCCGUGCCAGCAGCCGC